Pteronotus mesoamericanus is the source of this 134-nucleotide small nucleolar RNA. RefSeq annotates it as small nucleolar RNA SNORA69. The record is from RefSeq and is a predicted model, not a curated record. The transcript has a single exon. Lineage: Eukaryota; Metazoa; Chordata; Mammalia; Chiroptera; Mormoopidae.
AUAGCAGGCUACAAUUACAGUGCUUCUUUUUGUGAAAGUACUGCCAUUAUCCUGCUGAAAGAUAAUCUUGUGUUGAUCAUUUUUUUGUUUUCCCUUUAUGAGGGUAAAAUCAUGACAGACUGACAUGAACGAUU